GCGCCCGUAGCUCAAUUGGAUAGAGCAGCGGACUUCUAAUCCGCAGGUUGCAGGUUCGAGUCCUGCCGGGCGCGCCC
This 77-nucleotide transfer RNA is filed under the name uncultured Rubrobacteraceae bacterium. RNAcentral's name for it is "tRNA-Arg-TCT". It matches the Rfam family "tRNA". From Rfam's summary of the family: Transfer RNA (tRNA) molecules are approximately 80 nucleotides in length. Lineage: Bacteria; Bacillati; Actinomycetota; Rubrobacteria; Rubrobacterales; Rubrobacteraceae. The record is from RNAcentral.